CGAAGCCGAUGGAUAGAAUGCUUCUUGCUCUUGAUCCUCAACUCAAGAGACAAGAUGCCUUGACGAACUGACUCAAGUUCAGCUCCAGAAGAUUGAAGAUCGACGAUUAGACAGGAGAUUUCCUCCUGAAGCUUCGUCUCCCGCUCGGUCGCCAUCUGCAGUUGUUCAAAGGCAACCGCCUUCUCAAUAUUGACGGCCGUCACUUUGUCCAUCCAUGUCC
Molecule: long non-coding RNA, 220 nt
Filed under: Elaeis guineensis (African oil palm)
Lineage: Eukaryota; Viridiplantae; Streptophyta; Magnoliopsida; Arecales; Arecaceae
Description: long non-coding RNA (EGUI_LNC026832)
Source: RNAcentral